GGGGCGACGGCAGAGUGAAGGCCAAGCUGACGACUUUGCCGGAUUCGCCGAGGGGUGGUGCAUGGCCGCCGUCAGCUCGUGUUGUGAAAAUGUCCUGUCAAGUCAGGCAACGAGCGAGACCCUCACUCUUAGUUGCCAUCGGAUCUUUUGGAUGCCGGGCACCCUAAGAGGACCGCUGGCGAUAAGCCAGAGGAAGGAGAGGGCGACGGUAGGUCCGUAUGCCCCGAAUCCCCCGGGCAACACGCGGGCUACAAUGCGCAGGACAGAGGGUUGCAACCCCGAAAGGGGAAGCCGAUCCCUAAACCUGCGCUUAGUUCGGAUCGAGGGCUGUAACCCGCCCUCGUGAAGCUGGAAUCCCUAGUAACUGCGUGUCAUUAUCGCGCGGUG
RNAcentral lists this ribosomal RNA (387 nucleotides) under uncultured candidate division MSBL1 archaeon. Its description in RNAcentral is "bacterial SSU rRNA". It matches the Rfam family "Archaeal small subunit ribosomal RNA", at positions 933 to 1320 of the family's 1478-position model. Lineage: Archaea; Methanobacteriati; Methanobacteriota. The record is from RNAcentral.